RNAcentral lists this ribosomal RNA (459 nucleotides) under uncultured bacterium. RNAcentral describes it as "partial 16S ribosomal RNA". It matches the Rfam family "Bacterial small subunit ribosomal RNA", at positions 338 to 795 of the family's 1533-position model. The record is from RNAcentral.
CCUACGGGAGGCAGCAGUGAGGAAUAUUGGUCAAUGGACGAGAGUCUGAACCAGCCAAGUAGCGUGAAGGAUGACUGCCCUAUGGGUUGUAAACUUCUUUUAUAAACGAAUAAAACGAGGCACGUGUGCCUUUUUGCAUGUCCUUUAUGAAUAAGGAUCGGCUAACUCCGUGCCAGCAGCCGCGGUAAUACGGAGGAUACGAGCGUUAUCCGGAUUUAUUGGGUUUAAAGGGAGCGUAGAUUGGUUGUUAAGUCAGUUGUUAAAGUUUGCGGCUCAACCGUAAAAUUGCAAUUGAUACUGGCAGUCUUGAGUACAGUUGAGGUAGGCGGAAUUCGUGGUGUAGCGGUGAAAUGCUUAGAUAUCACGAAGAACCCCGAUUGCGAAGGCAGCUUACUAAACUGUGACUGACAUUGAUGCUCGAAAGUGUGGGUAUCAAACAGGAUUAGAUACCCUGUAGUC